GAGUUUGAUCUUGGCUCAGGAUGAACGCUGGCGGCGUGCUUAACACAUGCAAGUCGAACGGACUCAUAUUGAAACCUAGUGAUGUAUGAGUUAGUGGCGGACGGGUGAGUAACGCGUGGAGAACCUGCCGUAUACUGGGGAUAACACUUAGAAAUAGGUGCUAAUACCGCAUAAGCGCACAGCUUCGCAUGAAGCAGUGUGAAAAACUCCGGUGGUAUACGAUGGAUCCGCGUCUGAUUAGCUGGUUGGCGGGGUAAAGGCCCACCAAGGCGACGAUCAGUAGCCGGCCUGAGAGGGUGAACGGCCACAUUGGGGACUGAGACACGGCCCAAACUCCUACGGGAGGCAGCAGUGGGGAAUAUUGCACAAUGGGGGAAACCCUGAUGCAGCGACGCCGCGUGAGUGAAGAAGUAUUUCGGUAUGUAAAGCUCUAUCAGCAGGGAAGAAAUAGCGACCUUUGGGUCGCCAGACGGUACCUGAUUAAGAAGCCCCGGCUAACUACGUGCCAGCAG
This 512-nucleotide ribosomal RNA is filed under the name uncultured microorganism. Its description in RNAcentral is "bacterial SSU rRNA". It matches the Rfam family "Bacterial small subunit ribosomal RNA", at positions 9 to 514 of the family's 1533-position model. The record is from RNAcentral.